GGAGGGGUCGCAUAGUGGCCUAGUGCGCCCGCCUGCUAAGCGGGUUCCGGAGCAAUUCGGUCGAGGGUUCGAAUCCCUCCCCCUCCGCCA
RNAcentral lists this transfer RNA (90 nucleotides) under Dehalococcoidia bacterium. RNAcentral's name for it is "tRNA-Ser". It matches the Rfam family "tRNA". From Rfam's summary of the family: Transfer RNA (tRNA) molecules are approximately 80 nucleotides in length. Their secondary structure includes four short double-helical elements and three loops (D, anti-codon, and T loops). Further hydrogen bonds mediate the characteristic L-shaped molecular structure. tRNAs have two regions of fundamental functional importance: the anti-codon, which is responsible for specific mRNA codon recognition, and the 3' end, to which the tRNAs corresponding amino acid is attached (by aminoacyl-tRNA synthetases). tRNAs cope with the degeneracy of the genetic code in two manners: having more than one tRNA (with a specific anti-codon) for a particular amino acid; and 'wobble' base-pairing, i.e. permitting non-standard base-pairing at the 3rd anti-codon position. Lineage: Bacteria; Bacillati; Chloroflexota; Dehalococcoidia. RNAcentral also lists the same sequence under 1 other name. The record is from RNAcentral.